This is a long non-coding RNA of Homo sapiens (human), 4080 nucleotides long. The record is from Ensembl. Lineage: Eukaryota; Metazoa; Chordata; Mammalia; Primates; Hominidae.
UAGGCAUGUCAGCUCUAGGAUAAAGACCAGACAAGAAGGUCUCCAGGGCUGGGGAGGUGAGAGAAAGGGAAGGAGGAGAGGAACAAAGUAGGGAAGGAGGAGGGCAACAAAGUUUUAGGCAUUUUAUGCAGCAGGGGCUUAGGGACAGCUAUCUGAAAUGUGUCUUAGGGGAACAAGGGAGUGUGCCUUUUCCCUUUUUUGAAUUAUGCAUUCAUUUUGGGUGGCUUGCUGAGCAGUUGGUAGCUUGUAUCAGUAAAAGUAGAGCUAAAGCUGCUCUAAGGUGUUGUGAAAGGAAAAUAAAUCUCAGGACCCCAAAGUCACUAAGCCCGGGGAAGAGUCAAGCUGGGAAUUAUGUCAAGCAAACCUGCCUCCCAUUUUAUUCCUAAGUAAGAUAGCUACAAAGAUAAAAAGCUACAUACCUCCCUCAUAAUUUGUCACAAGGAAAUUUCUUGUGGGAUUCAAGAUCUUUACCCUAAAAGAGCUCUGUUUAAUUUCACCCUGGCAAUGUAAACUGAUAGCUUAUCUUCAUAGGUACCAGAAAACAGACAGAACUCAAAGUUAUAGCUCCGCUCACCUGAGACAAAUGCAUAUCUGAUCACGUCCUCUGCCUUAUUGUUUAUGUAAAAAUGCAGAUUCACAAAGCCAGACUAAGGCAUAAGUGAUUACUCCUCUAUCCACCUCUCACAUGUAAAUUGUGUAUUCAGUGAAAGACUAAUCAGAGACUCAAAAGAAUGCAACCAUUUUUCUUUUAUCUACCUAUGACCUAGAAGCCCCCUUCUUUGACUUCGAGUAGCCCGGCCUUUCUGGACUGAACCAAUGUACAUCUUACGUAUAUUGAUUGAUAUCUCAUGUCUCCCUAAAAUGUAGUAUAAAAUCAAGCUGUGCCCCAACCACCUUGAAAACAUGUUGUCAGAACUCCUAAGGCUGUGUCACAGGCACGAACUUAAACUUGGCAAAAUAAACUUUCUAAAUUUAUUGAGAUCUCUCUCAGAUACUUUUGGUUCACAGUGUCAUGAGAGUGACUCCUUCCCUGGGCCAGGCAGGAAACCGAGGAAGCUAAUGAGAUGGGACCAAGGAGGAGGGUCUGGAGUUUUGAGAAGGGGCUGCCAGGUUCCAAACUGUGUCAGAUUCAGUGCCUUUUUCCUGAGAAUCAGCUGAGUCAGUGGCUGCUAUGGGCUGUCCGAGAUUGUACUCAGAACCUUCCCUCAAGGGCACUGUGGCUGCUAGGGGUAGAGAUGUGUGCUGGACAGAGCCCACAUGUAGGAGCUAUAAGCACAAGACAUCCUCUCCCCACAAAGCCCUAGCCUAGUGUUAGGCCUCUGAGCCCAAGCCUGCACGUAUACGUCCAGAUGGCCUGAAGCAAGUGAAGAAUCACAAAAGAAGUGAAAAUGGCUGGUUCCUCCCUUAACUGGUGACAUUACCUUGUGAAAUUCCUUCUCCUGGCUCAUCCUGGCUCAAAAGCUCCCCCACUGAGCACCUUGUGACCCCCACCCCAGCCAGCCAGAGAACAACCCCCUUUGACUGUAAUUUUCCACUACCUACCCAAAUCCUGUAAAACAGCCCCACCCCUGUCUCCCUUCUCUGACUCUCUUUUCGGACACAGCCCGCCGGCAGCCAGGUGAUUAGAAAGCUUUAUUGCUCACACAAAGCCUGUUUGGUGGUCUCUUCAUACAGACGCAUCUGAAAUUUGGUGCCAUGACUCGAAUCGGGGGACCUCCCUUGGAAGAUCAAUCCCCUGUCCUCCUGCUCUUUACUCCAUGAGAAAGAUCCACCUACAACCUCUGGUCCUCAGGCCAACCAGCCCAAGGAACAUCUCACCAAUUUUAUAUCCGGUACCCACUGGAAAUUGGACUCUCCAACUCACCCGGCAGCCACUCCCAGAGCCACUGGAACUCUGGCCCAACGCUCUCUGACUGACUCCUUCCCAGAUCAUCUCAGCUUAGCGGCUGAAGAUUGAUGCUGCCCAAUCACCUCAGAAGCUUCCUGGACCAUCACAUACGCUUUGGGUAACUCUUACAGUGGAGGGUAAGUCCGUCCCCUUCUUAAUCAAUACGGAGGCUACCCACUCCACAUUACCUUCUUUUCAAGGGCCUAUUUCCCUUGCCCCAUGACUGUUAUGGUUAUUGAUGGCCAGGCUUCUAAACCUCUUAAAACUCCCCAACUCUGGUGCCAACUUGGACAAUAUUCUUUUAUGCACUCCUUUUUAGUUAUCCCCACCUGCCCAGUUCCCUUAUUAGGCUGAGACAUUUUAACUAAAUUAUCUGCUUCCCUGACUAUUCCUAGGCUACAGCCACACCUCAUUGCCACCCUUUUCCCCAGUUCAAACACUCCUUCACAUCCUCCCCUUGUAUCUCACCACCUUAAUCCACAAGUAUAGGACACCUCUACUCCAUCCAUGGUGACCGAUCAUGCACCCCUUAUCAUUCCAUUAAAACCUAAUCACCCUUACCCAACUCAACGCCAAUAUCCCAUCCCACAGCAGCCUUUAAAAGGAGUAAAGCCUGUUAUCACUUGCCUGUUACAGUGUGGCCUUUUAAAGCCUAUAAACUCUCCUUACAAUCCCCCCAUUUUACCUAUCCAAAAACCAGACAAGUCUUACAGGUUAGUUCAGGAUCUGCACCUUAUCAACCAAAUUAUCUUGCCUAUCCACCCCAUGGUGCCAAACCCAUAUACUCUCCUAUCCUCAAUACCUCCCUCCACAACCCAUUAUUCUGUUCUGUGUGGCAAACAUGCUUUCUUUACUAUUCCUUUGCACCCUUCAUCCCAGCCUGUCUUCGCUUUCACUUGGACUGACCCUGACACCAUCAGGCUCGGCAAAUUACCUGGGCUGUACUGCCACAAGGCUUCACAGACAGCCCCCAUUACUUCAGUCAAGCCCGAAUUUCUUAAUCUGUUACCUAUCUCGGCAUAAUUCUUCAUAAAAACACAGGUGCUCUCCCUGCCGAUCCUGUCCAACUGAUCUCUCAAACCCCAACCCCUUCUACAAAACAACAACUCCUUUCCUUCCUGGGCAUGGUUGGAUACUUUUACCUUUGGAUACCUGGUUUUGCCAUCCUAACAAAACCAUUAUGUAAACUCACAAAAGAAAACCUAGCUGAUGCCAUAGAUCCUAAAUCCUUUUCCCACUCCUCUUUCCGUUCCUUGAAGACAGCAUUAGAGAAUGCUUCCACACUAGCUCUCCCUGACUCAUCCCAACCCUUUUUCAUUACACACAGCCGAAGUGCAGGGCUGUGUGGUCGAAAUUCUUACACAAGGACUGGGACCGCUCCCUGUGGCCUUUUUAUCCAAACAACUUGAGCUUACUGUUUUAGCCUAGCCCUCAUGUCUGCAUGCGGCAGCUGCCUCUGUUUUAAUACUUUUAGAGGCCCUCAAAAUCACAAACUGUGCUCAACUCACUCUCUACAGUUCUCAUAACUUCCAAAAUCUAUUUUCUUCCUCACACCAGAUGCACAUACUUUCUGCCCCCCUCCACUACCUCUCAGCAAGCCGAACUCAUUGCCUUAACUAGAGCCCUCACUCUUGCAAAAGGACUACGCAUCAAUAUUUAUACUGACUCUAAAUAUGCCUUCUAUAUUCUGCACCACCAUGCUGUUAUAAGGGCAGAAAGAGGUUUCCUCACUACGCAAGGGUCCUCCAUCAUUAAUUCCUCUUUAAUAAAAACUCUUCUCAAGGCUGCUUUACUUCCAAAGGAAGCUGGAGUCAUUCACUGCAAGGGCCGUCAAAAGGCGUCAGAUCCCAUCGCUCAGGGCAACGCUUAUGCUGAUAAGGUAGCUAAAAAAGCAGCUAGAGUACAACUUCGUCCCUCAAGGCCAGUUUUUCUCCUUCUCAUCGGUCACUCCUACCUACUCCCCUACUGAAACUUCCACCUAUCAAUCUCUUCCCACACAAGGCAAAUGGUUCUUGAACCAAGGAAAAUAUCUCCUUCCUGGUGGGUGCCUGUAAUCCCAGCUACUCAGGAGGCUGAGACAGGAGAAUCCCUUGAACUCAGUAGGCUGAGGUUGCAGUGAGCCAAGAUCAUGCCACUGCACUCCAGCAUGGGUUACAGGAGCAAGACUCUGUCUCAAAAAAAUAAAUAAAUAA